UACAGAGGGUGCGAGCGUUAAUCGGAAUUACUGGGCGUAAAGCGUGAGUAGACGGUUAUUUAAGUCGGAUGUGAAAGCCCCGGGCUCAACCUGGGAAUUGCAUUCGAGACUGAAUAGCUAGGGUACGGUAGAGGGAAGUGGAAUUUCCGGUGUAGCGGUGAAAUGCGCGGAUAUCAGGAGGAACACCUAUUGCGAAGGCAGCUCGCUGGGACGUAACUGACGCUGAGACGCGAAAGCGUGGGGAGCAAACAGG
This 253-nucleotide ribosomal RNA is filed under the name uncultured bacterium. RNAcentral's name for it is "partial 16S ribosomal RNA". It matches the Rfam family "Bacterial small subunit ribosomal RNA", at positions 524 to 776 of the family's 1533-position model. The record is from RNAcentral.